CCUACGGGUGGCUGCAGUGGGGGAUAUUGGACAAUGGGGGGAACCCUGAUCCAGCGACGCCGCGUGAGUGAAGAAGUAUUUCGGUAUGUAAAGCUCUAUCAGCAGGGAAGAAAAGCAUGACGGUACCUGACUAAGAAGCCCCGGCUAACUACGUGCCAGCAGCCGCGGUAAUACGUAGGGGGCAAGCGUUAUCCGGAUUUACUGGGUGUAAAGGGAGCGCAGACGGCAAUGCAAGCCUGGAGUGAAAGGCGGGGGCCCAACCCCCGGACUGCUCUGGGAACUGUAUAGCUAGAGUGCAGGAGAGGCAAGUGGAAUUCCUAGUGUAGCGGUGAAAUGCGUAGAUAUUAGGAGGAACACCAGUGGCGAAGGCGGCUUGCUGGACUGUAACUGACGUUGAGGCUCGAAAGCGUGGGGAGCAAACAGGAUUAGAUACCCUUGUAGUC
This 443-nucleotide ribosomal RNA is filed under the name uncultured bacterium. RNAcentral's name for it is "partial 16S ribosomal RNA". It matches the Rfam family "Bacterial small subunit ribosomal RNA", at positions 338 to 795 of the family's 1533-position model. The record is from RNAcentral.